UACGGAGGGGGCAAGCGUUGGCCGGAUUUAUUUGGGUUAAAGGGGGCGUAGGCGGCCCUGUAAGUCAGUGGUGAAAGCCUCCAGCUCAACUGGAGAACUGCCAUUGAUACUGCAGGGCUUGAGUACAGACAAGGUUGGCGGAAUUGAUAGUGUAGCGGUGAAAUGCAUAGAUACUAUCAAGAACUCCGAUUGCGUAGGCAGCUAACUAGGCUGUAACUGACGCUGAGGCACGAAAGCGUGGGGAGCGAACAGG
RNAcentral lists this ribosomal RNA (253 nucleotides) under uncultured bacterium. Its description in RNAcentral is "partial 16S ribosomal RNA". It matches the Rfam family "Bacterial small subunit ribosomal RNA", at positions 524 to 776 of the family's 1533-position model. The record is from RNAcentral.